This 409-nucleotide ribosomal RNA is filed under the name uncultured bacterium. RNAcentral's name for it is "bacterial SSU rRNA". It matches the Rfam family "Bacterial small subunit ribosomal RNA", at positions 355 to 776 of the family's 1533-position model. The record is from RNAcentral.
UGGGGAAUAUUGCACAAUGGGCGCAAGCCUGAUGCAGCGACGCCGCGUGAGGGAUGACGGCCUUCGGGUUGUAAACCUCUUUCAGCACAGACGAAGCGCAAGUGACGGUAUGUGCAGAAGAAGGACCGGCCAACUACGUGCCAGCAGCCGCGGUAAUACGUAGGGUCCGAGCGUUGUCCGGAAUUACUGGGCGUAAAGAGCUCGUAGGUGGUUUGUCGCGUUGUCCGUGAAAACUCACAGCUCAACUGUGGGCGUGCGGGCGAUACGGGCAGACUGGAGUACUGCAGGGGAGACUGGAAUUCCUGGUGUAGCGGUGGAAUGCGCAGAUAUCAGGAGGAACACCGGUGGCGAAGGCGGGUCUCUGGGCAGUAACUGACGCUGAGGAGCGAAAGCGUGGGGAGCGAACAGG